UAUCCCUACAUCGUUGAUUUCCGUCUUUUUUCUCUAUGCUUUGCUUCUUCGCACACACACAACAUGUCAUCCGCGGCCUUCGCACUGCAUCACCACACACAUGGUUGGCUGAUAUUAGGAGGUCAUGUGUGGCUCUAUUGAAUCUGUGAUUCAACAAAGAGAAAGCUAAGGAGAAAUGCACAAAUUGGAGAGUGAGCGAGGAGUAACAUCAAACUGAACUUCUAUCUGACGCGAAGCUGAAGCUCUUUCAAUAUGAAGAAUUAGCGAAAGAAGAAGAACAGCAGAAAACCAGCUGAUCACUCCGUUUGUCCUCGCAUGCGAGGUAAUGGACGCGAAUGACACAGGGGGUUGUACUGCUCCGUGCACAACAGUUCAAUUACUAGCGGGAGGAGAGAUUGAGCUCCAGAUCUGGAUCGACUUGUUACUCUCCCUUGGGUCAAUGUUUUUGCUUGCUGAGCCUAAGAAUGAUUGAGCUCAUGAUUUAGAAGAUGAGAAGCACCCGCAGUUUUGCUCCUAGCUAGUUACUUUUUCUCCUCCAAUCUCCAGGUGAGUAAUUAACAUGCUCCUAGCUAGCUGCUUUUCUUCUGCCCCUUGUGGUUAUACGACAACUCACAUGUAUAUUCAGGCACUUUUUUCUUGUUCAUCACAGAACUAAUUAGAGAGCAGUGUCAGAGUCACACGAAGAACAGAACUCAAAAAACAGACUUUGGAAUGGAAUCAAUACUUGAACGACAACGUUGACAGAGGUGGACUUCGGGAUGAUGAGCAGGUAGGCGAUAGAGGAAGAGGCACUGAUGGUGGGGUUGGUGCGGAGGCCUGGUGGUGUUGGAGGGAGAACGGCGUCUGGUGGAGGAGUUUAACCGCAACAGCGGCUGGCGGCGCCCAGGGUGGCGGGAUUCGAGAGGCCGGCGGCGCGGGGUUGGCCGCUGGAUCCAGGUGGCCGGCGGCGAGCGAGUUGGCCGCUGGAUCCAGGUGCCUGGCGACGAGCGGGUUGACUGCUGGAUCCCGGAGCCCGGCGACGUGUGGGUAGCGGUGGGAUCCUAUAGUCGGCGGAGCCUUGGUUGCCGGCGGCUUCCAGGAGCCGGCGGCGGGAUGCUGGAGGUUGGCGGCGUCACCUGGGGUUGGCGGGGAUGGCAACGCCCGGCAUUGACGGGGGCAGCAGCGCCUAGAGUUGACGGGGGCGGCGCCGAGAGGGGCACUAGCAGCGGGGGGUCCGGGCCGAGGCGGGAGUGGUGGAGCCGGGCACCGACGGCGGGGAGGUUCAUGGCGGGGUGCGGCACCGGUGGUGGGGGGUCCGUGAUAGGGCGGUGGAGGCGAGUUGGCCAGGGGUGGGGUGGGGCUCACCGGCGGUGGGAUCAGGAUCAAGGGGAGGGGGGCUUUUUUUGAGACGGUGCUGGUGCGGCAGUUCACAGAGUUGGCGAGAAACCAGAUCGCGCCUAUGAACCUGUUUGGGACUGCUCUGCUUAUUUAAAUUCAGCUCCGCUUCAGAAAACACAAGCCAAACAGGGUAGCUCCAUAAUAUGCCGCUCCACAAAAAAACUAGAAUCUGGUGUACAGCUUCCAGUUUUUUAUGAAGCUCUUCACGGGGUGCUCCAAAAAACUCUAGAAGCUGGAGUUGGGUGGAAAUUACCCACCACUGCCACCAGUAAGUGGAUACCCCUUCGUUUCUCCCCCCUCAACCAAUCAAAUAGAUUCUUUCCACCAAAUAUCUCAUUCUUGAAGCUGGAGCUAGAUGGCAGCCAAACAUUCUCCUUGAUAGUACUACAACUUCUAAAUAAAACUGCUCCAAAGUAAAUUUAGUGGAGCGAAACCGAUUUUUGUGAAGCGGAGCAGUCCCAAACAUGCCCUAUGUAGAGGCGCUGUGAUCCAAAUAGUUAUUCUAUUUAUAUCGGCGUGGUGGACUAUUCUCUUACUAUCGGGCACUAUAGAGGAGCGAUCUGUUGAGAGAGAGAGAGAAAACCCGACCCGGACCCUUGUACCUCUCCGCGCACGCGUCGCCGCCCCAACUGUCCCACCACGCCGCCGCCCCCUCUGCCGCGCCACGCUGUCGUCCCCUUGCCAUGCCGCGCCGCCGCCCCCUUUGUCUGACCGCGUUGCCGGCUUCUCUGCCCCACUACGCUGGCCCACCAGCCACUACACUCCAAGAUGUCGGCUGAGUCGCGGCGCCGGCCAUCUCCCCCUAUUCUCCCCAGAACCAGGUCCUCCCCUCUCUACCGGUGUAGCCCCACCAUGAUCUCCGCUCAGUUCAACUUCGCUCCCAGCACCCCAUCUCUUCUGGAUCCAGCCAUCGUCCCGCCCCCAUCUUUUUCGGCGUCGGCCGCCGCCUUGCCCUCAUCUCCUCCCCGACCCUCGUGGUUGUCCGGUUCGCCUCCUCCUCCCCCCAGGCCAGCGGUCUCCUUCCACUGCUCACAGCCCUCCUAGUUCCCCUUUGCCGGCUUCCUCCUGGUUCAGGUCGAUCUCGCACGAGUGGGUGGUCAGUAAGCCAUGCACCGCCGUCGGGCCCUUCUACCCCAGCUGCUACAUCCUGUGUAGGCCGCCGCUGACUUCCAUGCAGGUCGCCAAUGCCCGUGUGCAAGGUUCAAAGGCCAUGGAAUUUUGCGACCAUUUGAGCUGGGCGACGGACCUAUACAGCAUCCAACAUGUCCUCAUAUUACACCAAGCAUAACCACAAGGUGACACAUACGACUAGCAUCCACUGGUACGCGUCGGUGCUAUAUGAUACGUCUCCAACGUAUCUAUAACUUUUUAUUGUUCCAUGCUAUUAUAUUAUCUGUUUUGGAUGUUUAAUGGGCUUUAUUAUGCACUUUUAUAUUAUUUUUGGGACUAAUCUAUUAACCGGAGGCCCAGUGCAAAUUGUUGUUUUUUUGCCUAUUUUAGUAUUUCGCGAAAAAGGAAUAUCAAACGGAGUCCAAACG
Molecule: ribosomal RNA, 2915 nt
Filed under: Triticum aestivum (bread wheat)
Lineage: Eukaryota; Viridiplantae; Streptophyta; Magnoliopsida; Poales; Poaceae
Description: partial small subunit ribosomal RNA
Source: RNAcentral